UAGAAGAAGAAGACGCUGGAGAGAGGGCUUUCCUGUCAGUAGCCCUCACUAGAAGUCCUGAAAGGACACCUGACUUUUCACAAAUGGAGACCUCCAUACCUACCCAGAAAUUCCAACUGAUUUACAAACUGUUUAUGUUGGAGAGUGCCCGAAACACUAUCGAAGAGGAACUUUACUUCUUACUCCAAAAGGUUUCUGAUGAGGUUCAGGAGUUAUUUCACUCAACUUUGCCUAACAGUGUGCUCACUAAUCUUUCUAAAGCACUGGACGUGAAAUAUUCUGUGUUAAAGAACUUUUCAACUCUACUGAGAGACUUAACAACAGAGGGUGAAGAAGAAGUAGUUGAUAUGCAGUUAGUUAUCAAAAAAGGAAUGAGAAGAAACCACCUUCAGCCUCUCAGACUUAAUGGAGUUCUCCAAACAAAUGCCUUCAAGUUUGGGCCCAUGUUGACCAACUCUCUAAUGGCAACCUCCAUCUCCAAAGCAGUCCAGGUGCUUGGAGCCAUGCAUUCCCUUCAGCAGCUCAAACUGUUUUUGACCUCUAGUUGUCCAAUCAUCAGCCAAGAUGACACUACAAGCUCCACUGCAUCCAACAUUAACAGCACUAUUUUACCUGCCAGCACACCCUGCUCUUCAAAGACAGAAACAGAAAAAGCAGUUUUUGAUGAGAACAGCCAAGAAGACUUUUCCUGUCUUCGAACUUUCAUCAAUCAAACCCUCAAGCCCAGUGCAGUACCUCAAAAGCCAGCAACGCUCCCAGAGAGUGGAAGCUUUAAACCUACCAACAUCAGCCCAUUGACAAACUGGAAACGGCAAAAUGAUGCCCAGGUGCAACACCAUCGACAAACAUCCUUUCAGCUCUUAAACUUUCUCAGAAAAAACACAUUUAACAUUUCUGCGGUGCAGGGGAGAUUUAGGGAGUGGAAUAAAAAUGCACGUACUUUAGAGGUGUUGGAACCAACAGCACCAGUAAUCAAAAGACAAACCAGUCAUGUUGUGAAAGAUGACCACACAAAUGGAGUUGUUUCAGAAAUGUCGAAAAAGAACCGUGAUAACCAAGCUCCAGUCUUCAGCUUCAAAAAAAGAGAGUCAAAUAGCUUGAUCACUUACAGUUGUGUGAUUACAACAGAAACUGAAUUGUGGGAUAUUAUAGACGUUCCCAUCGAGAAGGCCCUUGGGGGAUCUGUACUCAGCCACCUAGAAGGCAAUGAGUGUUCGAAAACAAUUGGCCAAGUGGCUGACUUCAGUGUAAACAGUCACGGAACAACUCAAACUGUCAAGAGCGCAGAGCCUGAUUAUGAGAAUAUUUUUUUAGAGGCUAAAACACAGACAUGCACCAGUGUAAACAUGAUCCCCCAGUUCCAGAUCCGGAAGUUUGAAGAGGCUGAAGUUGUGGUGUCUCAUAUUGUGAGCCCAGGCAACUUCUACAUCCAGUAUGCUGACUGGGAUGAGAAGCUCCAUUCCCUCAUCACGGAGAGCUUUAAGGCCAGUAGUUCUUAUGCAGAGAAAAAAUGCAUCCCAGAUUUGGGAACUCUUGUAAUGGCUUGGUUCCCCAUGCAGAAUAAGUGGUGCAGGGCUCAGGUGAUGAAAGUAUGUGGAAUAUGCAAAGAUAAGAAAGCUUCUGACAGCGUGGAAAAUAGGACGUCAAUUGUGGUGGAGGUGAAGCGUCUGGACUACGGUGAUGCUGUCUGUCUGUCUUUGCAGAAUAUUAAACAGCUCACACCUGAAAUGACUGUUCUGCCUCUUCAAGCUGUGCAGGUGUCACUGGCUAAUGUGGUGCCUGUGACUGGGAAUCACUGGUCUCAGCAGUCUGUGAGCUGGUUCAGAGCGCUAGUGCAUAACAGGACACUGUACGCCCGGCUGUACCCACACGGGAACAAUAUAGCAGUGGAGCUGUACCUAGAGAGAGGGAAGCUGGGAGCUAUGAGGUGCAUGCAUUUAAAACAAGGGAAAUGUUGAAUGUAGGGAUUCAUUAACACUGCUUAUCUCUUUAUCGGUGCUUUGAGUUGUUGUGUAUUCAGAUGUGAAGUGUUAGUAACCCAAUAGUCUAUUUAGAGAAUGGUUCAUUCAGUCACUGCAGAGAUGCCAAAUACAAGGCCAGGGUUCAUCUGGUACUGGUGAAGAUAAAAUAAGCACUGCAUGAAACUGUAUUGAAAAGAGAACAACCUUUUUAGUUCUAUUCUGCAUUAUAUAAAGAGCUUUAGCUGAAAACAUUUCAGAAACAAAACUAAUGACUUCAUAUUUUUGAAUAAAAUGUUAUGAAGUUGAGCA
This is a long non-coding RNA of Gouania willdenowi (blunt-snouted clingfish), 2270 nucleotides long. Lineage: Eukaryota; Metazoa; Chordata; Actinopteri; Blenniiformes; Gobiesocidae. The record is from Ensembl.